RNAcentral lists this ribosomal RNA (492 nucleotides) under uncultured bacterium. RNAcentral describes it as "partial 16S ribosomal RNA". It matches the Rfam family "Bacterial small subunit ribosomal RNA", at positions 29 to 507 of the family's 1533-position model. The record is from RNAcentral.
AGUGAACGCUGGCGGUAGGCCUAACACAUGCAAGUCGAACGGCAGCACAGUAAGAGCUUGCUCUUACGGGUGGCGAGUGGCGGACGGGUGAGGAAUACAUCGGAAUCUACUUUUUCGUGGGGGAUAACGUAGGGAAACUUACGCUAAUACCGCAUACGACCUACGGGUGAAAGCAGGGGAUCUUCGGACCUUGCGCGAUUGAAUGAGCCGAUGUCGGAUUAGCUAGUUGGCGGGGUAAAGGCCCACCAAGGCGACGAUCCGUAGCUGGUCUGAGAGGAUGAUCAGCCACACUGGAACUGAGACAAGGUCCAGACUCCUACGGGAGGCAGCAGUGGGGAAUAUUGGACAAUGGGCGCAAGACUGAACCAGCCAUACCGCGUGGGUGAAGAAGGCCUUCGGGUUGUAAAACCCUUUUGUUGGGAAAGAAAAGCAGCAGGUUAAAACCCCGCUGUUCUGACGGUACCCAAAGAAUAAGCAACGGCUAAAUUCGUG